UACGUAGGGGGCAAGCGUUGUCCGGAUUUACUGGGCGUAAAGCGCGCGUAGGUGGAACGAUCAGUCCGGUCUGAAAGCCCCCGGCUCAACCGGGGAGGGUGGCUGGAAACUGUCGUUCUUGAGGGCGAGAGAGGAGGGUGGAAUUCCUGGUGUAGCGGUGAAAUGCGUAGAGAUCAGGAAGAACAUCGGUGGCGAAGGCGCUCUGCUGGACCAUAACUGACACUCAGGGACGAAAGCUAGGGGAGCGAAUGGG
RNAcentral lists this ribosomal RNA (253 nucleotides) under uncultured bacterium. Its description in RNAcentral is "partial 16S ribosomal RNA". It matches the Rfam family "Bacterial small subunit ribosomal RNA", at positions 524 to 776 of the family's 1533-position model. The record is from RNAcentral.